CCUGACCUCAAACACUUCCUAGCUGUGGGACCCUGGGCAAGUCACUUAACCCCCAUUAUCUAGCCCUUACCACUCUUCUGCCUUGCAGUCAAUACUUAGUAUUGAUUCUAAGAUGUAAGGUAAGGUUUUUUAAAAGCUAGGCAAUAUCGGAAAGAAUAAUAUGAAUAUCUAGAGAGUAGACAGGAGGAGAAAGUGGUGAACAGUGUCAAAUAUUGCAUAGAAAUCAUGAACAAUUAAUAUUGAGCAAAGAUCCUUGGAUGUGUCAGUUAGGAGAUCAUUGUUAACUAUGGAAAGAACAGUUUCAAUUUAAUUAUAUCAGGGGCCAGAUUAUAUUAGGUUAAGAAGAAAAUAAGAAAAGAAAAAACAUUGAGUGUAGACUUCUUUCCCAUAAAGUUUCCUAUGAAGAGGAAGACAGAUAUAAGGAUGUGGCAGGAUAAGAGGUACUUUUGUAAUCUUUUUUUAAAAUAAUAUUUUAUUUAAUCAUUUCCAAGCAUUAUUCAUUAAAGACAAAGAUCAUUUUCUUUUCCUUCCCCCCACCCCCCAUAACCCAUUGUCAUGUUGUUAGUAUUUGCAUUAGAGUGUUCGUUUAGAGUCUCUCCUCUGUCAUGUCCCCUCAACUGCUGUAGUUGGGCAGUUGCUUUUCCUCGGUGUUUCUACUCCCACAGUUUAUCCUCUGCUUAUGAAUAGUGUUUUUUCUCCUAGAUCCCUGCAGAUUGUUCAGGGACAUUACACCGCUACUAAUGGAGAAGUCCAUUAUGUUCGAUUAUACCACAGUGUAUUAGUCUCUGUGUACAAUGUUCUCCUGGUUAAGAGGUACUUUUUAAAGGAUGGGGAGACAUGGAAAUGUCUAUAGGCCUACCAGAAAGAAAGAACAGACAUGGAGAAAUUAAAGAUUUUUUUACAUGGGUGAAAUUUUCUUGAUAAAUCUAGAAAGGAGAGGAGAGGACAAGGAUGAAUAUAGAGGACUUGGUGUUAGCAAAGAGAAACAUCACCUCUUCAUCUGAGGAAGUAGGAGAUAAAUGGGAGAAGUGAUUGAAUGAUAUGAAAUGUAGAGAAAGGUAGAAGAUGAAACUCUUGGUAAAUGGUCUCAUUUUUUAAGCAAAAUCUAAAGGGAAGUCCUCAGGAGAGAAGGAAUGGGAGAGAAUACUGAGCAAGCCUUGAAGAGAGACAAAUACACUUGGGAUAGCUGGUGUGGAGAUAAGGGGAAAGGAUCUAUUUGGGAGGAACAAAAUGUUUACCUUACUCCAGUAAGUGUCCAGUUAAGACGAGAUAACAUAAAUUUAUAGUGGGCCCAGUCAAUAGUUUCUUUAUUUCCUUUAAUUUUGUUCAGUAGCAAAUGAAGAGGAUCAAAGGAGAUAGAUGGUGGGAGUAAUCCAGAACUUGAGUUCAGUAAGGUGUGAUCAAUGACAAGGCAGCAUGGGGAUUGAGUCUAGAGAAUGCAGAGUUGAAUUGAUCAGCCAGGGAGUUUAGAUAGGGAAGGGAAGAGAGUGUAAACCACUCAGGGAUAAUAAUAUGAAAAAGAAUUGCUAGAAAGAAGGAAUAUCAAAUAUAGGAAGAAAGGAGUAAAGAAAAUAAAGGAAAGAAAGAAAGGAAUCAUCAAAUACAGGGAAAGAUAGAAGUAAAAAGGAUUAUAAAAUAAAGGAACUUCAGAGUUUGCAAACAGAGAAGUGGCAGACUUGUGGGUAUGAUAAUCUUUGGGUAACUGAGGUAGAAAAGGAGUAGGUAAUAGCCAAUGACCUACUAUUAAGAAACUGAAGUUAGGCUAUUCAAGAGAGUACCAUUAUGCACCUUCAAGUCCCCUACUGUGGAAGUAAAUGUUGGGACAGAGAGAAAGGACUUGAUUAAGGUACUGAAUUCCUUGAAGAAGGAAAAAAAAUAUGCCCCAGAGGUUAGUAGAUAACAAUGACCAAUAGCUGGACUAGGUGAUAAAUUAGCACAAACCUUAUAAAAAUAGCAUGAAACUCAAAGAAGAGUUUUAGUGUAGAGCUCAGUGAAGGUUGUAGGUAUGAAAGUACCUGCAAGUAGCAAAGAAUUUUCUAACUCCCCCAUUUUAAUGAGUGAGUGUGUGUGUGUGUGUGUGUGUGUGUGUGUGUGUGUGUGUGUGUGUGUGUGUGUGCCAGUGUGAGAGAGUAGUUAGACUGGAAGGGGUAUCUUGAUGAGGGAGCCAUGUCUCAGAGAUGUCCAGGAGAUAGAAACAUUAAGGAAGUUCUAUGACUUAUGGAGUAGGCAUUCUAGAAGGCACAAUGGAAGGAACCAUUAAAUCUGGAAUGGGACAUUGAGGUAGAGGAGAUGGUGUUGAGGGAGCAGAUAGUUGAGUAAGGGGAAUAGGGUUUGUCUAUUAGCACCUGGGGGGGGUUCAGAAUCACUGCAAAGGGGUGAGAAUAAGGGGAUGGUAAUAUGUAACUGAGUCCAGGUGAAAGGCUCAGUAGCUGGAGAGAAGUUCACUGAGUUUCCUUCCAGCUCUCAAUCCUAUAAUCCUCUGAGAGGUGCUCAAGGCUGCUGUCAGGUUCCAGUACACCACAAGAUGGCAGUGCUACCCCAGAAGAGACAAACCAGAGACUACCCAAAGCAGCCACGGGAUGCUCCUGGACCCUGCUUGGGAAAGGAGUCAGAAUCUGAGACAAUGAUAACUCUUCUCUAGUCUCUCUCCUAAAAGACCUGAAGCUGAAAGACAAUUUUGAGAUUAUCUGAUCCAAUCCCUUUCAUUUACCAGAUGAAGAAACUGAGGAUGAAAGAGUUGCGGGUUUGCCCAAGCUCACAGUGGUGGAGUGGGUGUUCCAUCUUCCCUGAUUUCCAUCAAACAAACACUCAAGCUCAACCUAUACUGAAUGGUCUGUGAGGUCCUGAAAAUUAAUUUUUUAAUGAUCAUUUACUUUCUUUCACUUCCAUAAAAGAAAAAAGAUAUUGUAACAAAUAUAUAUGUAUGCAUGUGUGCAUAUAUAGCGAUACAUAGAUACAUGCAUGCACACGAGACAAAUUCCCACAUUGGCUGUGCUCCAUAAGGUGUAUCUCCUUCUUGAUACUGUUUAUCAUCUCUCUGUCAAGAGGUAUGUAACACUCUCUGUAAUUGGUUCUCUGGAAUUUUAAUGAAGCAAAAUACAAAUUAACGGGCAGGGGGCAAGGCAGGGGAGCUGUGCCAGGGAGCCAGACUCUGACUAUGCUAUAUCCUUAGGAUUAAGGGACUCAAAUUAAAGUGGGAGAUGGAAGCAAAGAAAAUCAUUUCAGCCUGCCUUAGGGUAGCCUUGGUUUUGAGGCAUUUUGCUAAUAGAAGAUAAACUCCAUGUCCACUCUAACGCAGGACUUGUGGCAGCUCUUGGCUUUUCAUUGCCCAUUUCUCCAUUUCAAAUACUCUUGGCUCUCUUCUUUGCCCGCCUGUAGCUAGCUCAUCCUGCAAAGCUCCAGUUUUUUCUUUCUCAGGAAGCCUUUCUUGAAUAACUUCAUUUCUCUUGAAUUACUCCUUAAUCUCAGGGGGUCCUCAGCACCCCAGGGCUCAGUUAUACCACAUCGAUUUAAUUCAACAAGUGAUGCUCUUUGACUACUGUCUCUAAUUGCUCUGUGGAACCAGGGUAGUUGGUGCUUUUCUAGUGGAUAGUAGUGCUUGAGCCUUGAGGUGGGAAGGUUCGAUGGCCCUGUAUCCCCAAAGAGAGAAAGUUCUCUCAAUAGCUUUGGUGGAUGUAAGAGCACCUGGUUGGGGAGGCAUUUCUAUAGGAGUGUUUUUAGAGGUUUGGAGAUGGGAAAGGAUGCUGAUGUAUGAAUUGGUGGUAAAAAAAGGGAUUGACCAUCAUUUGAAGUAUAGCCUGGUUGAGCAGAGGUUAGUAAGCUACAUGCUUUCUGAGGUACAUAGGAUUGGAGGAACGGUGUGGAAAGACUCAGCCAUAAAACUUGUAGCAUGUUUAUCCUUUGUUAUGUCAUCACUGUGGUAGGCAAGGGUUAUUCAUGGGUUUUAGCAUCAAUCUGGGUCAUGUCUCAAGUUGCAGUAGAGCAUUGACUUGCUCCCUCUCAACCUGACUAUAGAAAGAAGUUUAAGCAAGGAUAAAACUGGGCUAUCAGAUUAGUUUAUUGUGGCCUGUCUGAAUGUAUCAGCUGGUACCACUACACACCCAUACCCUGGGCUUCCUAAUGCUAAGACUAUAAUGAAUGCCUUAGGGAUAUGGAUCCUUUUUUCUUGGUUUUCAUAUGUUUCCUCACUCAUCUUUGUCCUCUAAUGUCUACUAAAGUGUGUGGUUACACAGAGAAGAUCCAAUAAGUAUUAAUGAAAGGAUAAGCAGCUUGGAUGUUCCACUAAGGGCAUAUUUAGUUCCUAGGAAAUAGCAAAUUGACUCCAUAAGUGACUACAUUCUCUCUGGUUAUAUAAGCCUGUAAUGAGUGCCACAGAGGAUGUGGAUCAUGUUAUUUUGGUUUUCAUGUGUUUCCUCACUCAUCUUUGCCUUCUAGUGUAUGCUAAAGUGUGCGAUUACACAGAGAAGAUCCAAGAAGUGUUAAGGAAAGAACGAGCAGCUUGGAUGAUCCACUAACGGGAUAUUUAGUCCCUGGAAAAUAGAAAAUUGACUCUAUCAUUGACUACAUUCUUUCUAGUUAUAUGUAUAUUCAGUUUCUGUAAAUUACCUCAUGCUUAAAUCGCCUGCAUGGGAACUUACCAAUUAAAGGAAUCCUAAAUGAAAGGA
Molecule: non-coding RNA, 4664 nt
Organism: Monodelphis domestica (gray short-tailed opossum)
Lineage: Eukaryota; Metazoa; Chordata; Mammalia; Didelphimorphia; Didelphidae
Source: RefSeq, a predicted model, not a curated record